GAUGAACGCUAGCGGCAGGCUUAACACAUGCAAGUCGAGGGGUAACAGGAGGUGCUUGCACUUUGCUGACGACCGGCGAACGGGUGCGUAACGCGUAUGCAACUUACCUUUUACUAGAGAAUAGCCAAGAGAAAUUUUGAUUAAUGCUCUAUACACUUAUUAAUUCUCAUGAAUCUAUAAGAAAAGCUCCGGCGGUAAAAGAUGGGCAUGCGUCCUAUUAGCUUGUAGGUGAGGUAACGGCUCACCUAAGCUCCGAUAGGUAGGGGUCCUGAGAGGGAGAUCCCCCACACUGGUACUGAGACACGGACCAGACUUCUACGGAAGGCAGCAGUAAGGAAUAUUGGACAAUGGAGGCAACUCUGAUCCAGCCAUGCCGCGUGAAGGAAGACGGCCUUAUGGGUUGUAAACUUCUUUUAUACAGGAAGAAACCUUUCCACGUGUGGAAAGCUGACGGUACUGUAAGAAUAAGGAUCGGCUAACUCCGUGCCAGCCGCCGCCGUAAAAC
This 505-nucleotide ribosomal RNA is filed under the name uncultured bacterium. Its description in RNAcentral is "bacterial SSU rRNA". It matches the Rfam family "Bacterial small subunit ribosomal RNA", at positions 28 to 526 of the family's 1533-position model. The record is from RNAcentral.